This 30-nucleotide non-coding RNA is filed under the name Mus musculus (house mouse). The record is from RNAcentral. Lineage: Eukaryota; Metazoa; Chordata; Mammalia; Rodentia; Muridae.
UGAAAAACUCAGCUGUACUGUAGAAGCCUU